UACGUAGGGUGCAAGCGUUAAUCGGAAUUACUGGGCGUAAAGCGUGCGCAGGCGGUUUUGUAAGUCAGAUGUGAAAUCCCCGGGCUUAACCUGGGAACUGCGUUUGAAACUACAAGGCUAGAGUGUGGCAGAGGGGGUGGAAUUCCACGUGUAGGCAGUGAAAUGCGUAGAGAUGUGGAGGAACACCGAUGGCGAAGGCAGCCCCUGGG
This 209-nucleotide ribosomal RNA is filed under the name uncultured bacterium. RNAcentral describes it as "partial 16S ribosomal RNA". It matches the Rfam family "Bacterial small subunit ribosomal RNA", at positions 524 to 733 of the family's 1533-position model. The record is from RNAcentral.